Corythoichthys intestinalis (scribbled pipefish) is the source of this 1286-nucleotide long non-coding RNA. RefSeq lists it as uncharacterized. The record is from RefSeq and is a predicted model, not a curated record. The transcript has 3 exons. NCBI's taxonomy places the organism in Eukaryota, Metazoa, Chordata, Actinopteri, Syngnathiformes, Syngnathidae.
CUACUCACGUGACGUCACAGCCACGCCCCCGCGCCAUGAUGUCCGGAUACUAGUCAUGUUAAUGCAUUAGCGCUUCGUAAAUUCCUCCUAUUAUGGCGUGUUUUUCUGCUCGUUAACAUUAAUAAUCAAAACGGUGAAGUCGUGUGUGGCGGUCAGUUGCAAAAACAGAGAAGAUAGACGGAGAGACUUGAAUUUUUACCGUAUUCCGAGAGACCCGAAGAGGAGACCGACAUUGACUGCUGCAAUUCGACGAGAAAACUGGGCUCCAAACGACUACCGCAGAUUAUGUAGUAGUAAUUUUAUAUCUGGUUGACCUGGUCGACCAGGAGGCCCAGGAGGACCCUGAAACAGCACAUGGAAUCAAUGGCUGGUCAAAGUGGAGGUCAACAUUAUCACCUUGCCAGGUGGUCCAGGAGGCCCAAAGGCAACUGGUCCAUUAUCUCCGAGUGCAACUGAUGUACCAGGGACUCCAGGUGGACCUGGGGGGCCUGGGGGGCCUGGAGGACCCUGAAAAACAAAUGACAAAUGAUUAUUUCCAAAUUCCUUCUUACAUCCUGCAAAUUAGGGAACACUCACACAUCGUGCCAAUUCUAUUGUGCUGAGCCUUGGUGACAUUGCCACUGUCUCUACGCAUGACUACCAUAAUUGCAAUAUGAAGUGGCACACCUCUACUCCUUCAUAACACAGACAUUAGUCUCCAAAACCUGUUUUUUAGGUGUUAAGCAUACAGUAUGUGUGAGUGAACUCUGAGGUGGACAAAGCUUCUGCAUACCUGGAUUUUCUCCCAAUCGGAGUAUCCUGAGCCCUCCAUGUCUACAAAAGUCUGUGAUAGAACACAAUACGAUACAUUCGAAAUGAAAAAACAAAAUUGUAAACCUUUAAAAUAGUGUUCUAUAAGGUGUCGACAUACCGGUCGAUUUCCAGUUCCUGGUCCAGGAGGUCCAGGAAGCCCUGGAGGACCUCUGGGUCCAGGUAAUCCUUCGCCUCGCUCACCCUGUAGUUCAGAGGUCAUAAAGUCAAAGGUUGCAAUGAAGAAAAAUUCCAAAUUUCAACCAUUUAACCUUUUGUCCUCGAGCACCAGGAUUUCCAGGAGUUCCUGGAAAACCUUGCGGCCCUGGAGGACCCUAAAAAAAGACACAAAAUGCACAAUGUAACAUGUCAAUGUCAAUGUGCACACUCUUCCUUUAAUUAAAACAUAUUGAAAACACUUACAGCUUUCCCAUCCUCUCCUGGGUUUCCCUGAAUCAUCAUUUACAGACAAUUAGCAGCAGUCCUUAAAAAUGCAU